AGCCGAUGCGCAGGCCUAACACAUGCAAGUCGAGCGGAAACGAGUUAUCUGAACCUUCGGAGAACGAUAACGGCGUCGAGCGGCGGACGGGUGAGUAAUGCCUAGGAAAUUGCCCUGAUGUGGGGGAUAACCAUUGGAAACGAUGGCUAAUACCGCAUAAUGCCUACGGGCCAAAGAGGGGGACCUUCGGGCCUCUCGCGUCAGGAUAUGCCUAGGUAGGAUUAGCUAGUUGGUGAGGUAAUGGCUCACCAAGGCGACGAUCCCUAGCUGGUCUGAGAGGAUGAUCAGCCACACUGGAACUGAGACACGGUCCAGACUCCUACGGGAGGCAGCAGUGGGGAAUAUUGCACAAUGGGCGCAAGCCUGAUGCAGCCAUGCCGCGUGUGUGAAGAAGGCCUUCGGGUUGUAAAGCACUUUCAGUCGUGAGGAAGGUGGUAGUGUUAAUAGCACUAUCAUUUGACGUUAGCGACAGAAGAAGCACCGGCUAACUCCGUGCCAGCAGCCGCGGUAAUACGGAGGGUGCGAGCGUUAAUCGGAAUUACUGGGCGUAAAGCGCAUGCAGGUGGUUUGUUAAGUCAGAUGUGAAAGCCCGGGGCUCAACCUCGGAAUAGCAUUUGAAACUGGCAGACUAGAGUACUGUAGAGGGGGGUAGAAUUUCAGGUGUAGCGGUGAAAUGCGUAGAGAUCUGAAGGAAUACCGGUGGCGAAGGCGGACCCCUGCACAGAUACUGACACUCAGAUGCGACAGCGUGGAGAGCAAACGGAUUACUACCCUGGUAGUCCACGCCUUAGACGAUGUCGACUUGCAGGUUGUAGCCUGAGCAAUGACUUCGGCAACUAACGCGUCAGUAGACUACCUGGGCACUACGGUCGCAUGACUAGAGCUCAAAUGACUGAUCGCACGCUGA
Molecule: ribosomal RNA, 907 nt
Filed under: uncultured bacterium
Lineage: Bacteria
Description: bacterial SSU rRNA
Rfam family: Bacterial small subunit ribosomal RNA
Source: RNAcentral